UUGGCGUAGGCGAUGGACAACAGGUUGAUAUUCCUGUACCACCUCCUCACCAUUUGAGCAAUGGGGGGACGCAGGAGGAUAGGGUAAGCGCGGUAUUGGAUAUCCGCGUCCAAGCAGUUAGGCUGGGAAAUAGGCAAAUCCGUUUCCCAUAAGGCUGAGCUGUGAUGGCGAGCGAAAUAUAGUAGCGAAGUUCCUGAUUCCACACUGCCAAGAAAAGCCUCUAGCGAGGUGAGAGGUGCCCGUACCGCAAACCGACACAGGUAGGCGAGGAGAGAAUCCUAAGGUGAUCGAGAGAACUCUCGUUAAGGAACUCGGCAAAAUGACCCCGUAACUUCGGGAGAAGGGGUGCUCUGUUAGGGUGCAAGCCCGAGAGAGCCGCAGUGAAUAGGCCCAGGCGACUGUUUAGCAAAAACACAGGUCUCUGCGAAGCCGUAAGGCGAAGUAUAGGGGCUGACGCCUGCCCGGUGCUGGAAGGUUAAGAGGAGCGCUUAGCGUAAGCGAAGGUGCGAAUUGAAGCCCCAGUAAACGGCGGCCGUAACCAUAACGGUCCUAAGGUAGCGAAAUUCCUUGUCGGGUAAGUUCCGACCCGCACGAAAGGCGCAACGAUCUGGGCACUGUCUCAACGAGAGACUCGGUGAAAUUAUAGUACCUGUGAAGAUGCAGGUUACCCGCGACAGGACGGAAAGACCCCGUGGAGCUUUACUGCAGCCAGAUAUUGAAUGUUGGUACAGCUUGUACAGGAUAGGUAGUAGCCUUGGAAACCGGAGCGCCAGCUUCGGUGGAGGCAUCGGUGGGAUACUACCCUGGCUGUAUUGACCUUCUAACCCGCCGCCCUUAUCGGGCGGGGAGACAGUGUCAGGUGGGCAGUUUGACUGGGGCGGUCGCCUCCUAAAAGGUAACGGAGGCGCCCAAAGGUUCCCUCAGAAUGGUUGGAAAUCAUUCGCAGAGUGUAAAGGCACAAGGGAGCUUGACUGCGAGACCUACAAGUCGAGCAGGGACGAAAGUCGGGCUUAGUGAUCCGGUGGUUCCGCAUGGAAGGGCCAUCGCUCAACGGAUAAAAGCUACCCCGGGGAUAACAGGCUUAUCUCCCCCAAGAGUCCACAUCGACGGGGAGGUUUGGCACCUCGAUGUCGGCUCAUCGCAUCCUGGGGCUGUAGUCGGUCCCAAGGGUUGGGCUGUUCGCCCAUUAAAGCGGUACGCGAGCUGGGUUCAGAACGUCGUGAGACAGUUCGGUCCCUAUCCGUCGCGGGCGCAGGAAAUUUGAGAGGAGCUGUCCUUAGUACGAGAGGACCGGGAUGGACGCACCGCUGGUGUACCAGUUGUUCUGCCAAGGGCAUCGCUGGGUAGCUAUGUGCGGACGGGAUAAGUGCUGAAAGCAUCUAAGCAUGAAGCCCCCCUCAAGAUGAGAUUUCCCAUUCCGCAAGGAAGUAAGAUCCCUGAAAGAUGAUCAGGUUGAUAGGUCUGAGGUGGAAGUGUGGCGACACAUGGAGCUGACAGAUACUAAUCGAUCGAGGACUUA
RNAcentral lists this ribosomal RNA (1519 nucleotides) under metagenome. Its description in RNAcentral is "bacterial LSU rRNA". It matches the Rfam family "Bacterial large subunit ribosomal RNA", at positions 1406 to 2925 of the family's 2925-position model. The record is from RNAcentral.